This 495-nucleotide ribosomal RNA is filed under the name uncultured Glomeromycotina. Its description in RNAcentral is "partial small subunit ribosomal RNA". It matches the Rfam family "Eukaryotic small subunit ribosomal RNA", at positions 591 to 1092 of the family's 1831-position model. The record is from RNAcentral. Lineage: Eukaryota; Fungi; Glomeromycota.
CCAAUAGCGUAUAUUAAAGUUGUUGCAGUUAAAAAGCUCGUAGUUGAAUUUCGGGGUUCUACCGUUGGUCGGGCUUUGUCUGUACUGGCGUGUAGAAUUUCUACCUUCUGGGGAACCAUCAUGUUAUUAAUUUAACGUGGUGGGAAACAAGGACCUUUACCUUGAAAAAAUUAGAGUGUUCAAAGCAGGCGUAUGUCUGAAUACAUUAGCAUGGAAUAAUAAAAUAGGACGGUGGUCCUGUUUUGUUGGUUUCUGAAUCACCGUAAUGAUUAAUAGGGAUAGUUGGGGGCAUUAGUAUUCAAUUGUCAGAGGUGAAAUUCUUGGAUUUAUUGAAGACUAACUUCUGCGAAAGCAUUUGCCAAGGAUGUUUUCAUUAAUCAAGAACGAAAGUUAGGGGAUCGAAGACGAUCAGAUACCGUCGUAGUCUUAACCAUAAACUAUGCCGACUAGGGAUCGGAAGAUGUUAAUUUUUCUUGACUCGUUCGGCGCCUUACG